Molecule: long non-coding RNA, 949 nt
Organism: Mastomys coucha (southern multimammate mouse)
Lineage: Eukaryota; Metazoa; Chordata; Mammalia; Rodentia; Muridae
Exons: 5
Source: RefSeq, a predicted model, not a curated record
CCAGCCCACUAUAAAAGGGGCUGUUUGCCUCCUUCUCUCUCUCUUACCUCUCAUUCUCUUGUUCCUACUUUUGUUGCCUGGCUUCCCCUCUCUCUGCCUUCUUUUCCCCGUCUCCAUGUGGCCAUGGCCAGCCUCUACUUUCCUACACUCUUCCUCUCUCUGACUUUCUACAAUGAACACCUUAAAACCAUGGACCAUCCUAACCAUCUCAUCGGAACCCAUUGUGCUAGAGCAAUGGAGCCGGUCUUCCCCUAAGGAGCAGUGCCUCUAACCUCCCACGAGGAGGCCUCCCUGCGCUCCAGCCAAGGCUGCCAGCCAACCCUAGCCAGCCAAACCAAGCUAGCAAGACAAGGACUCUCCUCCCCAUGGCGGAAUUUCAGCUACCUUGCUUAUGUAGACAACUACAGAAGACUGACACCAUUUACAGUUUACUUUCUCAUAUCCAUCAACAAGAAAAAAAAAAAAGAUAUACAGUACGCAUGCCAUGUUUAUCAAGCCACUUUCCUCAAUAGCCUGUUCCAGUUCUCUCAGCUGUUACAAUGAUGUUAAUCAUGGAUGGCAUCUAUCUCAGAAAUCUUUGUCCUCUGGGCCAGCAUACUGAUCCGGAUCUGGGGAGUGUCCUUCACUCAGCUCUUCUGCAUCAUGGAAUACCAACCUGUUACCAUGCAGACAUUCAGACUUGAAGGAAGAGUGACAAUACAUGGUUAAAUGACUGUGAUCCCAUGGAGAAGGUCACCGUGAAUUAGAAUGGAGGGCAAAGGAAAGUGAAGCUACUGAAUGAAGUAACAGUAAAGGGCAAAAUAACUAUGUAGAAUAUCCACAGUGAAUGUACAGGAGCAUGGGAAUACAGCAGGAUGUCAUCAAGUUAAGCAUGCAUUGUGAUUAAUGUGUUUGCUUGUCGCUACUGGAACAGAACAGAAAAGCAGUGUUUGAUAAAGUCUGAGGGCAA